RNAcentral lists this transfer RNA (75 nucleotides) under Phycisphaerae bacterium SM23_33. RNAcentral's name for it is "tRNA-Arg". It matches the Rfam family "tRNA". Rfam says of the family: Transfer RNA (tRNA) molecules are approximately 80 nucleotides in length. Their secondary structure includes four short double-helical elements and three loops (D, anti-codon, and T loops). RNAcentral also lists the same sequence under 1 other name. Lineage: Bacteria; Pseudomonadati; Planctomycetota; Phycisphaerae. The record is from RNAcentral.
ACGCCCGUAGCUCAACACGGACAGAGCAGCGGUCUUCUAAACCGCAGGUUCCAGGUUCGAGUCCUGGCGGGCGUG